GACGAACGCUGGCGGCGUGCUUAACACAUGCAAGUCGAACGGUAAGGCCCUUCGGGGUACACGAGUGGCGAACGGGUGAGUAACACGUGGGUGAUCUGUCCUGCACUUCGGGAUAAGCCUGGGAAACUGGGUCUAAUACCGGAUAGGACCAUGCGCCUCACGGUGUGCGGUGGAAAGCUUUUGCGGGGUGGGAUGGGCCCGCGGCCUAUCAGCUUGUUGGUGGGGGAAUGGCCUACCAAGGCCACGACGGGUAGCCGGCCUGAGAGGGUGACCGGCCACACUGGGACUGAGAUACGGCCCAGACUCCUACGGGAGGCAGCAGUGGGGAAUAUUGCACAAUGGGCGCAAGCCUGAUGCAGCGACGCCGCGUGAGGGAUGACGGCCUUCGGGUUGUAAACCUCUUUCAGUAGGGACGAAGCGCAGGUGACGGUACCUACAGAAGAAGGACCGGCCAACUACGUGCCAGCAGCCGCCGUAA
RNAcentral lists this ribosomal RNA (478 nucleotides) under uncultured bacterium. RNAcentral's name for it is "partial 16S ribosomal RNA". It matches the Rfam family "Bacterial small subunit ribosomal RNA", at positions 28 to 523 of the family's 1533-position model. The record is from RNAcentral.